GGCGCGCGGGAACCCGGCCCGGCCGUACCCCGCCGGCCUGCCGACCCGGGUCCGGGGGCCCAGUUGGCGCCCGGACCAGCUCUCCGGUCUGCGUCCUGUAGAUGGGAAAACUGAGGCCUGAGAGGGCGCGAGGGCGGGGACGAGGCCGAGGACUCGGGUUCGAAUCUCGAGGACGCCAGUAGCCCGCUCUGAGGCCGCGUGGGGCUGGUGGAGGAGCCACCGGUCGGGCCCCCAAGACCGGCUGACGUGGGCCUCGCCUCGGGCGACUCCCGCCGGGCUAGUGGCUGGCCGUGUGGUGACCUUGGGCGAGUUACUUCGCACAGCCACCCAGGGGCCUCUUCUCCAACACGAUAGCACUGCACCCGGAGGGCCUUCAGACCUGAGCUGAAAUCUACACCACCGGCUCUCUGACUAUCAGGCUUUGGACUAUACUUUGGGCUUUCCUGGGUCUCUUACCUGGCAGACAGCAGAUUUUGGAACUUUUCAGCCUCCAUAAUCAUGGUCAGGAAUUUGGACAGACCACAGUGGAGAUGGCUAAUCUAUGCCCCACGGUGUCUGGGGCCUCAGCCGGGGUGACUCAAAGGUGUCUGUGAUAUGUAACAAUUGGAGGCUGAGUAGGCAUCUUUCUCUCCUCUCCAGGUGGCCUCUCGCUGCAUAAUAUUUCAUUGUAUGGAUAAACUACACAGUUCCCAGUGAUGAAGACCAAGAUUGUUCCCAAUCUGUUUGCUAUUAUAAACAGUGUUGCAACAAACAGGCUUUGUGUGUAUCAUUUCAUAUGAGUACAAGAGUUUCUGUA
This 796-nucleotide long non-coding RNA is filed under the name Homo sapiens (human). RNAcentral's name for it is "HSALNT0291694". The record is from RNAcentral. Lineage: Eukaryota; Metazoa; Chordata; Mammalia; Primates; Hominidae.